This is a long non-coding RNA of Zea mays, 1294 nucleotides long. RefSeq lists it as uncharacterized. The record is from RefSeq and is a predicted model, not a curated record. NCBI's taxonomy places the organism in Eukaryota, Viridiplantae, Streptophyta, Magnoliopsida, Poales, Poaceae. The transcript is spliced from 2 exons.
AACGAAUGAUUCCGCGUCGUGCGCUGUCCCUGUAGGUCGCCUGAUAAUUCCCGUUUCUCCCCCACGCCACCACGGCACCACCACCACCUUCCCUCCGAGAUCGCAUCGCGCAUGAGCGAGGCGAGCGGCGAUCGGAGGCCGGCAGCAGGCAGCAGGCAAGGCGGGGGCGGGCGAUGCGACUGUGGUGCCUCGCUCGCUCUCGUCCCACCACCGCCGCUCUGAAUCUGAGCCCCGCAGCGGCGGUGGAUGCGGCUGUACCCGCAUGUCUCCCACUGCUGCUACAGCACAAGACAGUUGCCAUAUGAUAUGACUGACAACAAACAUGCUCAUGCCCCCGGCGGAGCCCCCACGGACAAAUCCACACCACGCUUCACUGCAGCUCUCUCUCUCUCUCUCUCUCUCUCUCUCUCUCUCUCUCUCUCUCUCUCUCUCUCUCUCUCUCUCUCUCUGUGACACGGCUCUAAGCUCAGAUCCGGAGGAUUGAUGCCUUGAUCGCACUGUGCCACAGCCCGCCACCGGAGUCUUUGUUUACCGUGCGAGCUCCCGGCGAUCUUCGUCGUGCGGCACGGCACGCCACGCCACACCUCGGAUUUGCCAUUGGCUGCCACUUGCUUUGCUUGGCACUCGCUGCAAAACGGAGCCGCGACGAUGAGGUCACGGAGGACGUAAACAGGAAUCUUCGUGUGGUUUUUUAUUUUAUCUCCGUCACCGUGCAUGCAUGCACGGAUCGGUAUGCGGCGGUGGCGCGCGCGAACGAAAGACGAGCAGCACAUGCAUGCAAACCGUCGCAGGCCGCAGGCGCUGCCGCAGGCGCAGAGCGAUUCAAGAGCGCGGUUUCUGAUGAAUCCGCAGCGCAGCGGAGGCUUUCUCGGCUUUUCCAACGUGCUCUGACUUUGGAGGACCGGUUCGCCUUUCUAGCGCAGCGCCUCUCUUUUCUUAGGCGAAUUGCAGGACCGUGGACCGCGGUGAACCGGUGGCAUGCAUAGUGGCUGGCAACCCUGCCAAGAUGUAGGGUCGGUAUGACCUAAGCAGAGGAUCAGUGAAGGAGAUCAGCGAUGACCUAAUCACCAGAGGCAUGCAAAUUAUGCCCAAGUUUGAAGCUGAAGCAAGGCUGCAACUGCUCAAUUCUGAUGACCUAGUGAUGUGGUCCAACUACACAUACACAGCAGGAAAUGGAAAUUGUAGCUUCAAAACAAUUUUUUUUUGUCUUAGUUUUUUUUUUUGUCGUGGUCAGAGUACUCAGGCUUUACGAUGUUAAGCUGCAAAAAUCAAUCCCAAGUAAUUUGUAAUCGAA